GAUGAACGCUAGCUACAGGCUUAACACAUGCAAGUCGAGGGGAAACGAUAUUGAAAGCUUGCUUUCUUUAGGCGUCGACCGGCGAAUGGGUGAGUAACGCGUAUCCAACCUGCCCCUGAGUAAGGGAUAGCCCAUCGAAAGAUGGAUUAAUACCUUAUGGUUUCCUUUGAAGGCAUCAGAUUAGGAAUAAAGAUUUAUCGCUGAGGGAUGGGGAUGCGUCUGAUUAGCUUGUUGGCGGGGUAACGGCCCACCAAGGCGACGAUCAGUAGCCGGCCUGAGAGGGCGGACGGCCACAUUGGGACUGAGACACGGCCCAAACUCC
Molecule: ribosomal RNA, 322 nt
Filed under: uncultured Prevotella sp.
Lineage: Bacteria; Pseudomonadati; Bacteroidota; Bacteroidia; Bacteroidales; Prevotellaceae
Description: bacterial SSU rRNA
Rfam family: Bacterial small subunit ribosomal RNA
Source: RNAcentral